RNAcentral lists this ribosomal RNA (253 nucleotides) under uncultured bacterium. RNAcentral's name for it is "partial 16S ribosomal RNA". It matches the Rfam family "Bacterial small subunit ribosomal RNA", at positions 524 to 776 of the family's 1533-position model. The record is from RNAcentral.
UACGAGGGGUGCAAGCGUUAUCCGGAAUGAUUGGGCGUAAAGCGUCCGCAGGUGGCUAUGUAAGUCUGCUGUUAAAGAGUGAGGCUCAACCUCAUAAGAGCAGUGGAAACUACAUGGCUAGAGUGCGUUCGGGGCAGAGGGAAUUCCUGGUGUAGCGGUGAAAUGCGUAGAUAUCAGGAAGAACACCGGUGGCGAAAGCGCUCUGCUAGGCCGCAACUGACACUGAGGGACGAAAGCUAGGGGAGCGAAUGGG